GCCCUUCGGGGUGUUGGCGAGUGGCGCACGGAUGAGUAACGCGUAGGUCAUCUGCCCUUAGGUCAGGGAUAGCCCUUCGAAAGUUGGAUUAAUACCUGAUAAUAUGGCGACAUCAAAGGAUUUAUUCGCCUAAGGAUGAGCCUGCGUUAGAUUAGCUUGUUGGUGAGGUAACGGCUCACCAAGGCGACGAUCUAUAGCCGAGUUGAGAGGCUGAUCGGCCACAUUGGAACUGAGACACGGUCCAGACUCCUACGGGAGGCAGCAGCUAAGAAUCUUCCGCAAUGGGCGCAAGCCUGACGGAGCGACGCCGCGUGAACGAUGAAGGCCUUUCGGGUUGUAAAGUUCUUUUAUAAGAGACGAAUGUCUGGUGUAGGCCAGACUGACUGUAUCUUUUGAAUAAGGUCCGGCUAACUACGUGCCAGCAGCCGCGGUAAUACGUAGGGACCAAGCGUUGUUCGGAAUUAUUGGGCGUAAAGGGUACGUAGGCGGCAUGAUAAGUCAGAUGUGAAACCCUCGGGUUCAACCUGAGGCCUGCGUCUGAUACUGUUGUGCUAGAGUUACUGAGAGGAAGACGGAAUUCCUGGUGUAGGGGUGAAAUCUGUAGAUAUCAGGAAGAACACCUAUUGCGAAGGCAGUCUUCUGGCAGCUAACUGACGCUGAUGUACGAAAGUUAGGGUAGCAAACAGGAUUAGAGACCCUGGUAGUCCUAACCGUAAACGUUGUAUACUAGGUGGUUGAAGUAUUGAUCCUUUGACUGCCGGAGCUAACGCCAAUUAAGUAUACCGCCUGGGGAGUAUGCCGGCAACCGGUUGGAAACUCAAAGGAAUUGAGCGGGGGCCCGCACAAGCAGUGGAGCAUGUUGUUUAAUUCGAAGAUACGCGAGAAACCUUACCAGGUCUUGACAUAUACCUGAAUGGUGUGGAAACACAUCCGCCCCUCGGGGCAGGUAUACAGGUGCUGCAUGGUUGUCGUCAGCUCGUGCCGUGAGGUGUUGGGUUAAGUCCCGCAACGAGCGCAACCCUUAUUCUUUGUUGCUAACAGGUUAAGCUGAGCACUCUAAGAAGACUGCCGGUGACAAACCGGAGGAAGGUGGGGAUGACAUCAAAUCAUCACGGCCCUUAUGAUCUUGGGCUACAAACGUGCUACCAAUGGGCGGCACAAAGAGUUGCGAUACCGCGAGGUGGAGCUAAU
This 1191-nucleotide ribosomal RNA is filed under the name uncultured organism. Its description in RNAcentral is "bacterial SSU rRNA". It matches the Rfam family "Bacterial small subunit ribosomal RNA", at positions 75 to 1272 of the family's 1533-position model. The record is from RNAcentral.